RNAcentral lists this long non-coding RNA (7706 nucleotides) under Triticum aestivum (bread wheat). Its description in RNAcentral is "long non-coding RNA (TAES_LNC015470)". Lineage: Eukaryota; Viridiplantae; Streptophyta; Magnoliopsida; Poales; Poaceae. The record is from RNAcentral.
UCUACGGCGAUGGGGUUGCUUCCUCUGCUCCAUUCAUGUCGCUGAGGUUUGUUCUUCCAUCCUCUUCCUUCCUUUGCCUCCUCAAAUUCUUCUUUGGUCUUACUCCUUACAGUAGAUUUCUGUCCUCCGUAGGUUUUGUGAUGUUUGCCUGUUUCUCGCUCUGGAGUAGGUCCCUGCGUCAAUCUUGCCUUCGGCAUUGAGGUGAGAAAAUUAGCCCCACCUUUUCUUGCUGCCCUACUGUUCGGUGAAAUGCUUGUGCCCUGAUGGAUUCCGUUCUUUUUUCCCUUGUGUUCCUUCGCGUCCUGCUUCUUGCCUGCUUUGCAAGUCUUUGUUUCAUCUGUUGGCUCGGUUCAGUUGAUUGUCCGUGCCUGGGUAUGUUCUGUGUACGAUGCAAAUUCGGAACAAUGGAUUUGGUUUUCUGAACCACAAAACUUGUCUAGCUUGAAUUAGCAGAUUACACCAUGAAAAUAUAUUGUCCUUUAAAAAAUACUGUGUAUUAGUACCUCUUUAGACCCUGCUGCUUGCGAUCUGAACCAGUAUAUACUUUUCUACAGUUUAGAUGUUAUAUCAGUUUGCAGAUGAAUUCGUGGCUAAUACUAGCAUUGUGAAUUUUUCAUGUUUGUCUUCCUUCCUUUCAACCUGAUGCAUUCAGCAACUCAGCAACAGGGACUGAUCAGCAUGUGCAUAAUGCUCGUUGGUGACUAUUCCUUGCUUUCUUAUCACAUGUACGCCAUGGUUAUGAGGGAUUAUCUUAACUCUAUUGCUAGAUACUGUGUUUGAGUUUUAUCCAUCUGUUAACCACCACCUGAAAAUGGUAUCAAAAUGUCUAUGCUUAAUUGUUCAGACACUGGAGCAGAAAAGGCUAUAAUUUGGUCUCACUUUGAUUCUGUUACGACUAGAUAUCAAGUUUAUAGCAUGUGAACUCUAAAGAGUAGGAACUAAGGCUGCGUUCGGUUUCUCUCGGCUCCGUUAACUCCGCUCCCGGAGCGGACCAUCCUUUAGCUUAAUUAGGCGGAGCUGCCAAAACCCAACUCCUGAACUCCACGGAGCGGGGAAGUUCCGAACACGGCCUAAAUCUUGUGCUUAAUCACUGCCUACCCUCCUGAGAACCAAAGCAAAAAAUGUAUAGUCCACACAAGUUUUAGUUAAGAUUGUAUCCAUAUCAUAUGGUACAGGUAUUGCCUUGCUGAUACUGACGUUUUGCUGAACCUAGACUUAUAAAUUGCCCUGUAUCACACUCACACAGGUGGAUCCUCGGUAUACAAAUUAGUACUUAAGCAUUGGCUUUUCUGAAUAAGAAUAACGGCGUACAUACCUGAAGAAUUAAAACUUGCAAUAAUAUAUAUUUCUACUUUGUACCACCUGUCUGAGAAUGUCAUAAGUCUUGUUUUUACACAUCUUGAAAUUUCUCAAUCUAUUUAUGAUUCUGCACAACUUUCAGUCUAUAAUUAAUUUUCCUGUCAACCAGCAUCCCAAGCAAGCAAUAUCAAGGUUGGUUAGCACACGUGUUACGCUUCCUAUAUAUGAUAUGGUCCAUAUAUGCACAUUACACGUAAAAAACUUGAGUUUCAUGCAAAGAUUUAAAAAAACAGCUUAUUUUCUAUCCGUGCACUCUUGGUAAAAAGUACCGCAUAUUGAAACUUGUGCAUUGUACCUUGCAGAUAUUGCAAGGCAUCUUCUUCCCGUCUCAGUAAUCAAAAAGUGCACCAUUGGACUGAUGUACCGGAAAGGGUAGUGCCACUGGAGAUAAUUAUUUCAGAUCACCUUCUACUUGAUGGAAGUCAUUAUCAGAAUGUAUGCAUACAACAACAACAACAACAACAACAAAGCCUUUAGUCCCAAACAAGUUGGGGUAGGCUAGAGGUGAAACCCAUAAGAUCUCGCAACCAACUCAUGGCUCUGGCACAUGGAUAGCAAGCUUCCACGCACCCCUGUCCAUAGCUAGCUCUUUGGUGAUACUCCAAUCCUUCAGGUCUCUCUUAACGGACUCCUCCCAUGUCAAAUUCGGUCUACCCCGCCCUCUCUUGACAUUCUCCGCAUGCUUUAGCCGUCCGCUAUGCACUGGAGCUUCUGGAGGCCUGCGCUGAAUAUGCCCAAACCAUCUCAGACGAUGUUGGACAAGCUUCUCCUCAAUUGGUGCUACCCCAACUCUAUCUCGUAUAUCAUCAUUCCGGACUCGAUCCUUCCUCGUGUGGCCACACAUCCAUCUCAACAUACGCAUCUCCGCCACACCUAAUUGUUGAACAUGUCGCCUUUUAGUCGGCCAACACUCCGCGCCAUACAACAUUGCGGGUCGAACCGCCGUCCUGUAGAACUUGCCUUUUAGCUUUUUUGGCACUCUCUUGUCACAGAGAAUGCCAGAAGCUUGGCGCCACUUCAUCCAUCCGGCUUUGAUUCGAUGGUUCACAUCUUCAUCAAUACCCCCAUCCUCCUGCAACAUUGACCCCAAAUACCAAAAGGUGUCCUUCCGAGGUACCACCCGGCCAUCAAGGCUAACCUCCUCCUCACACCUAGUAGUACUGAAACCGCACAUCAUGUACUCGGUUUUAGUUCUACUAAGCCUAAACCCUUUCGAUUCCAAGGUUUGUCUCCAUAACUCUAACUUCCUAUUUACCCCCGUCCGACUAUCGUCAACUAGCACCACAUCAUCUGCAAAGAGCAUACACCAUGGGAUAUCUCCUUGUAUAUCCCUUGUGACCUCAUCCAUCACCAAUGCAAAAAGAUAAGGGCUCAAAGCUGACCCCUGAUGUAGUCCUAUCUUAAUCGGGAAGUCAUCGGUCUCGACAUCACUUGUUCGAACACUUGUCACAACAUUAUCGUACAUGUCCUUGAUGAGGGUAAUGUACUUUGCUGGGACUUUGUGUUUCUCCAAGGCCCACCACAUGACAUUCCGCGGUAUCUUAUCAUAGGCCUUCUCCAAGUCAAUGAACACCAUAUGCAAGUCCUUCUUUUGCUCCCUAUAUCUCUCCAUAAGUUGUCGUACCAAGAAAAUGGCUUCCAUGGUCGACCUCCCAGGCAUGAAACCAAACUGAUUUUUGGUCACGCUUGUCAUUCUUCUUAAGCGGUGCUCAAUGACUCUCUCCCAUAGCUUCAUUGUAUGCCUCAUCAGCUUAAUUCCACGGUAAUUAGUACAACUCUGAACAUCCCCCUUGUUCUUGAAGAUUGGUACUAAUAUACUCCGUCUCCAUUCUUCUGGCAUCUUGUUUGCCCGAAAAAUGAGGUUGAAAAGCUUGGUUAGCCAUACUAUCGCUAUGUCCCCGAGACCUUUCCACACCUCAAUGGGGAUACAAUCAGGGCCCAUCGCCUUGCCUCCUUUCAUCCUUUUUAAAGCCUCCUUCACCUCAGACUCCUGGAUUCGCCGCACAAAACGCAUGCUGGUCUCAUCAAAGGAGUCGUCCAGUUCAAUGGUAGAACUCUCAUUCUCCCCAUUGAACAGCUUGUCGAAGUACUCCCGCCAUCUAUGCUUAAUCUCCUCGUCCUUCACCAAGAGUUGGCCUGCUCCGUCCUUGAUGCAUUUGACUUGGCCAAUAUCCCUCGUCUUCCUCUCUCGGAUCUUGGCCAUCUUAUAGAUGUCCCUUUCACCUUCCUUCGUGCCUAACCGUUGGUAGAGGUCCUCAUAUGCCCGACCCCUUGCUUCACCAACAGCUCGCUUUGCGGCCUUCUUCGCCAUCUUGUACUUCUCUAUGUUGUCUGCACUCCUAUCCAGGUAUAGGCGUCUGAAGCAAUCUUUCUUCUCUUUAAUCGCCUUCUGGACAUCAUCAUUCCACCACCAGGUAUCCUUAUCUUCGCUUCUCCUUCCCCUGGACACUCCAAACUCCUCCGAGGCCACCUUACGAAUGCAAGUCGCCAUCUUCAUCCACACAUUGUCCUCAUCCCCUCCUUCCUCCCAAGGGCCCUCCUUAAUGACCCUCUCCUUGAACACCUGAGCUACCUCCCCCUUGAGCUUCCACCACUUCGUUCUAGCAACUUUGGCACGCUUAUCCCGCUGGACACGAAUCCGAAAGUGGAAGUCAGCAACCACCAACUUAUGCUGGGGUACAACACUCUCUCCAGGUAUCACCUUACAGUCUAGGCACGCACGCCUAUCUUCUCUUCUCGAGAGGAUGAAAUCAAUCUGGCUAGUGUUGGCCACUACUAAAAGUCACCAGAUGUGAUUCUCUCUUUCUAAAGAGGGUGUUAGCUACAAUCAUGUUGUAGGCUAGAGCAAAGCUUAAGACAUCUUCUCCUUCUUGAUUCCUGAUGCCAUAGCCAAAGCCCCCAUGCGCCCCUUCAAAACCUGUGUUAGAUGUACCCACGUGGCCAUUGAGGUCUCCUCCUAUGAAGAGCUUCUCACCAAUUGGUACACUCCUAACCUAACCAUGUCUUCCAGGCCUUCCCAGAACUCCCUCUUGGUGUUCUCAUUGUGGCCUACUUGCGGGGCAUACGCGCUGAUAACAUUGAGAACCAAGUCCUCAACUACCAGCUUGACCAGGAUAAUCCGGUCCCCAUGUCUCUUGACGUCUACCACUCCAUACUUGAGGCUCUUGUUGAUCAAGAUGCCUACGCCAUUUCUGUUUGCAGCCGUCCCCGUGUACCACAGCUUGAAGCCGGUAUCGUCCACCUCCUUCGCCUUCUGUCCUCUCCAUUUGGUUUCUUGGACGCAAAGGAUAUCAACCCCUCUCCUCACCGCUGCAUCAACUAGCUCCCGAAGCUUCCCUGUCAGAGACCCUACGUUCCAGCUACCUAAGCGAAUCCUCCUAGGCUCGGCUAGCUUCCUUACCCUUCGCACUCGUCGAGUCAAAUGCGAAGACCCUUGCUCAUUUUCCACUACAUCCGGGCGCCGAUGUAGCGUGCCACUAAGGAUGCGACGACCUGAUCCUCGCUCACUUGCCACCGUAUCCGGAUCAAGAUACGGCGCGCCACUUGGGGGGUGACGGCCCGGCCCUUGCCCAUUUUCCACCACACCCGGGUUCCGAUGUGGCGCGUCCGCUGCAUCAGAAUGUAUGCAUCAUCGUGGUAUUUACUCAUGUACUAUGAAAUUAAACUGAGCUAACUGAAUUAUCUUUGCAAAAAAAUAUUAGACCAUGUAUAUUACCAAGUGUGUUCUUAUUUUUCGCUUUUCAGGUAGUUGUUAUAGGGGAGAACAAAGUAUUAAUAUUGCUGAUUUGUAAUAUAGAAUGAUCCUUAUGGUCAGAUUUGGCUAAAUUUUUAUGAAUGUGUCGCUUGAGUGUCCCAAAUAUGUGCUGGAUUUGAUUAGUAUGUUGUAUGCUUGCUAUGUUCCAGCCUUCCAGGAGGAUUGUUCUGGGAAUACAUUGACAAACAUGUUCUGCUUUUAAUGUUAUUUCUGUACAUAAAACAUACCAAAUUAAGAACUAAUGUACCCUUCUUACUUGGAAAUAGCUUGAUCUGGUUGGAGAUGUUCUAGCAUUCAGCGUGGGUUCUUGGGUUAGGCUGGCUUCUAGGAUUGACCGAUGCUAAAUUAAGAACUAGGAUUUGGCAGCAGGCAUGGUCUGUCCGGCGUGCUCAAGCCUUUUAGGUUGUUAUUAUCAUUUACAAUUAGGUUAUGCUAAACCAGCAAAUAGAGCUUCACCAUUUAAAAUUUUGAUCCACCAAUGGUGCUCCAGUGAUUUCUACUUAUUUGUUGUCGUGUCUUGGUAGUUUGAUAGAAUAGGGCAUGCUUUUCAUAUAGUUUCGUUACAUGAUGUUACAUCGGUUUUCUGACAGAUUAAUCCAUCACAAGCAAACAAAAUAGGAGACAAGGCAUCAUGAAGCAACCAUAGCAGGCUAUGACAAUUGGUUGUAAUAAAUAAAUGGAGAAUACCCACUGGACAGAAGUUUCUGAGCUAAAUAUGUUAGCCAUCCUAAACCCACUAAAAAACAAAAGAGAACAAUACCGAACCUGAGUAGUAUUUCAAUUUUAUUUCAUAUUAUUUCAUAUAUAUCUGUCAUCAUAUAAGUAUAUUGCAAAUAGAAGGGCUAAAAACAACUGUAGAAUUUCUGCCAAAUGAAGCUAUGCAAUAUAUGGAGCUAACUUGCAAUAGGAUCCCAUGGGAUUACAACUAUGAGAAGGACAGUCUGCUAAGAAAGAAAUUCAGUCCACUCAAAACGAAAAUCAGUCUCUUUUGCGUCAGAUUGAACAAAAAAAAAAGAGACAAGGCCAUCAACAGCCUAACAAAAGGUUGGGGUGGUGCGCUAGACACUGGCUAUGACACCAAGGAUGAGCUUCAAUGUAUAAGAUAUGUCAGAGUGUCGGCUUAAUCAUGCCUUGCUUCAUGUGCAGUAUGUUGAACUCACCUUGAUGAAUCAACCUUGGUCUCAGUCUCUCAAAUGAUAUGCUGCAGCAAACAAAGUCAGGACCUUGCUAUUCAGAUGAUGAACAGCAGUGCUGAUGAGUUGGGUGCUUUCAACUAUGAUAGCUCGGAUGAAGAACUCUACCGCUCAGGUGAUGGGCUAGCUUCCUUUUCCUUAUAAGUUGUGCCCCACUUAUAUAUUUGGCAAGCUUAUGAUCUUACUAACAAUGGUACUAAUGCGACAUCUAUAGCCCUGCCCUGCGAAUUGCUUUUGUUAUGUGCAAGUAUGAGAUCUGAUGUUGUAGGAACACAAUGUAUUUUUACACCCACUGCUUUAAGAUGCUUUUGUACACGCCCCUGCAUAUUGCUGUUCUACUAUGGAGGCUUCUUAUGCCUGGUGCUUGCUUCUAUUAACCAACUCUGUUGAUAGACUGCCAUCAAAUGAAGUACGGUACAGAUGAGACAUUCAGCAAUGACUACCUAAUACCACCGUCUUCAUGUCUUGGUCUUUUCAUCUGGCAGUAGAUACAAGACUCAGCCUAAUGUUAAGAGACAAGUGCUAUAUCUAUGAUGCAUCUCUCCUAAUACAACUUGGUUUAUAAAGCCAAUGUAAGCUAUCAUCAAGUGAUCUCAUAACUUUCUUUUGAGCUAUCAUGCUACCAUGUAAUAGAAUAUAUAACAAUAUGUGUACCUAAGUAUCUAUUAAUUUGGUUCUAAAUCACUCAUUUGCAUGGUUUAAAUGCCCGGCUCGUUUCUCGCUUUUUGUGCCAUGGGCACAACGGGGUCAUCUAGUUACUACAAAGCAUAAUGUAAUGCGUGCCAUCAUUCUUUGUUUAGUACUGUUGAAUUAAAAUAAUAAUCUGCCUUUUUGUUCAUUACCAUUUUUUAACAUUGCUAUUUCUGCUUUUAUGUGGUCCUUGAAACUUGUAAUCUGCUUGAGGCUAUGUUAAAACUUCAUCAAGUGUGAAGAUAUGACACUUGCAUGGACCUGUGCUAACUGAACUGUAUUUGUUAGGUUUGAUCUCUACCAGCACAAGAAGCUUGAUGAGCAAGAAGCACUAGAACUGGAGGCAAAAGGCUGUAGCUUUUCUGUUCUGUAUAACCAUUCUAGCCAAGUUGAUGGAGUUUCUAAUGUCACUGCUUGUUGAGCUGUGAUUUAUUUUCGCCGUUCAUAAUCAGUCUUGCCCAUGAUGUACCACAAAUGAUCCUCUAAUGCAAUGUAACACUUGAUAUGUAUUUAUGUCUCUUCUGUUGGUUCAUGAUUGUGAUUGUGCAGUUUGAAAUCUAUGUUUGCUUGAAGUGGAUGAAUUAAGUCUCAUGCACUGAAAGAUAUUUCUGAUGAUGCUCACAUACUUUUUAGUGACCAACAUGUUCGAAUUUCUUGCAUGAUUCGUGAUAACACAAGUUACUGACGAAAUUAGAUACACAGAAGCUUCA